UUAUGGCUCAGGAUGAACGCUGGCGGCGUGCUUAACACAUGCAAGUCGAACGGAGCUUAAGAAGGAAGCUUGCUUCAUUUAAGCUUAGUGGCGGACGGGUGAGUAACGCGUGAGCAACCUGCCCUUCAGUGGGGAAUAACAACCGAGAAAUCGGUGCUAAUACCGCAUAAUGUCGGAGGACCGCAUGAUCUUCCGACCAAAGGAUUUAUUCGCUGAAGGAUGGGCUCGCGUCCGAUUAGGCAGUUGGCGGGGUAACGGCCCACCAAACCAACGAUCGGUAGCCGAACUGAGAGGUUGAUCGGCCACAUUGGGACUGAGACACGGCCCAGACUCCUACGGGAGGCAGCAGUGGGGAAUAUUGGGCAAUGGGCGAAAGCCUGACCCAGCAACGCCGCGUGAAGGAUGAAGGUCUUCGGAUUGUAAACUUCUUUGAUUGGGGAAGAAUAAAUGACCUACCCAAAGAACAAGUCACGGCUAACUACGUGCCAGCAGCCGC
RNAcentral lists this ribosomal RNA (496 nucleotides) under uncultured bacterium. RNAcentral's name for it is "bacterial SSU rRNA". It matches the Rfam family "Bacterial small subunit ribosomal RNA", at positions 17 to 518 of the family's 1533-position model. The record is from RNAcentral.